CCUACGGGUGGCAGCAGUGGGGGAUAUUGCACAAUGGGGGAAACCCUGAUGCAGCGACGCCGCGUGUGGGAAGACGGUCCUCGGGAUUGUAAGCCACUGUCCCCAGGGACGAAGAUGACGGUACCUUGGGAGGAAGCUCCGGCUAACUACGUGCCAGCAGCCGCGGUAAUACGUAGGGAGCGAGCGUUGUCCGGAAUUACUGGGUGUAAAGGGAGCGUAGGCGGGACUGCAAGUUGGGUGUCAAAUCUACCGGCUCAACCGGUAGCCGCACUCAAAACUGCAGUUCUUGAGUGAAGUAGAGGCAGGUGGAAUUCCUAGUGUAGCGGUGAAAUGCGUAGAUAUUAGGAGGAAUACCAGUGGCGAAGGCGGCCUGCUGGGCUUUUACUGACGCUGAGGCUCGAAAGUGUGGGGAGCAAACAGGAUUAGAUACCCGAGUAGUC
This 440-nucleotide ribosomal RNA is filed under the name uncultured bacterium. RNAcentral's name for it is "partial 16S ribosomal RNA". It matches the Rfam family "Bacterial small subunit ribosomal RNA", at positions 338 to 795 of the family's 1533-position model. The record is from RNAcentral.